This 477-nucleotide ribosomal RNA is filed under the name uncultured anaerobic ammonium-oxidizing bacterium. RNAcentral's name for it is "bacterial SSU rRNA". It matches the Rfam family "Bacterial small subunit ribosomal RNA", at positions 365 to 832 of the family's 1533-position model. The record is from RNAcentral.
UUCGCAAUGCCCGAAAGGGUGACGAAGCGACGCCGCGUGGGUGAGGAAGGCCUUCGGGUUGUAAAGCCCUGUCAGGAGUUAAGAAAUAUAAGUGCGCUAAUAUCGCAUUUAUUUGACGAAGGCUCCAAAGGAAGCCACGGCUAACUCUGUGCCAGCAGCCGCGGUAAUACAGAGGUGGCAAGCGUUGUUCGGAAUUAUUGGGCGUAAAGAGCACGUAGGUGGGUUUGUAAGUCAGAUGUGAAAGCCUCCUGUUCAACGGGAGAAUUGCAUCUGAAACUGCAAGUCUUGAGUGUAGGAGGGGAGAGUGGAACUUCUGGUGGAGCGGUGAAAUGCGUAGAUAUCAGAAGGAACGUCGGCGGCGAAAGCGACUCUCUGGCCUAUUACUGACACUGAGUGUGCGAAAGUUAGGGGAGCAAACGGGAUUAGAUACCCCGGUAGUCCUAACUGUAAACGAUGGGCACUAAGUAGAGGGGUUUU